RNAcentral lists this long non-coding RNA (43069 nucleotides) under Medicago truncatula (barrel medic). RNAcentral describes it as "long non-coding RNA (MTRU_LNC007736)". The stretch from base 29480 to 29578 matches the Rfam family "MIR2587 microRNA precursor family". Lineage: Eukaryota; Viridiplantae; Streptophyta; Magnoliopsida; Fabales; Fabaceae. The record is from RNAcentral.
UGUAGGGAGGAUGAACUGGUGGAGAGUGGUAAACUGGUUUUGGAGUGUAAGGAGGGUGAACUGGUGGUGGAGGGGAUGAGUAUUUGUAUGGCUUCUUUGGUGGUGGUGGAGAGUGGUAGUAGGGCUUAGGGCUGACGUGAUGCACUGGUGGAGGAGGAGAGGAAUAUUUGUAUGGCUUCUUUGGUGGUGGUGGGGAAUGGUAGUAAGGUUUAGGGCUUAACAUGCACUGGUGGUGGAGGAGAAGAAUAUUUGUAUGGUUUCUUUGGGGGUGGUGGAGAAUGGUAGUAAGGUUUAGGGUGGACAUAUGGUGGAGGAGGAGAAGAAUACUUGUAAGGUUUCUUUGGUGGUGGUGGUGGUGAACUGUAAUGGUAGGGAGGAGGAGGUGUAUAAACGGUGGGGGUGGAGAGUGGUAGUAGUAUGGUUUCUUAGGUGGUGAGUACACUGGUGGUGGUGGUGAAGAGUAAUGGUAAGGUGGUUUAACUGGAGGGUACACCCCCGGUGGUGGGGAAUGUGGAGGGUACACCUUAGGUGGUGGUGGAGAACUAUAAUGGUAAGGUGGUGAGACUGGUGGAUACACCUCAGGUGGUGGUGAAUGUGGAGGGUAUUUCUUAGGUGGUGGUGGGGAAGAGUAAUGGUAAGGUGGUUUAACUGGUGGGUACACCUUGGGUGGUGGUGAAUGUGGAGGGUACACCUUAGGAGGUGGUGGUGAAGAGUAAUGGUAAGGUGGUGAAACUGGAGGAUACACCUUAGGUGGUGGUGAAUGAGGAGGAUACUUCUUAGGUGGUGGUGGUGAAGAGUAAUGGUAAGGUGGUGAAACUGGAGGGUACACCUUAGGUGGUGGUGAAUGUGGAGGGUACACCUUAGGUGGUGGUGGUGAAGGGUAGUGGUAAGGUGGGGAAACUGGAGGGUAGACCUUAGAAGGUGGAGGAGGUGAAGAAUACAAGUAGCUGUUUGCUGAAAUUUGAGAUGUAUGGAGAGAGACACUAUUAUGGCUAAUAGAAGAGUCAAAGUGGCAGAGGCCAUUGGAGACCUCAUUUUUUUUUUUUUGUUCUCUUGUUGCCUUAACCUCACUAGAUAGUGGGAUUUUGAUAUGCUAUAAUGUAACCAAGUGAUGCCCUUUAUAUAGAUCUUUUAUUUACCUACUAGUACUAAUCAUGUUGGUUGGUAACUUUGUUUUCAACUUGUCAAAAUUUUGUUGCCAAUAAGGCGUUGCCGUAUCUUUUUUUAAUUAAAAGUCAAUAAUAUUCAAACACAAGUUUUCAUUAAACAAAAACUAACUUACUUUUCUGAAUAGGUUGAUUUAAUUGGAAAAAAGGGAGGAUAAUUUAUACAAAAAGAGAAGUUGUAUUCCCUAUAUUCGGUAUCAUAAAAAGAAGAGAAACAAUUAUUAAAGCAAAUUUUGGUUAUUUUAUUUUAAUCAAUUUUUUAAAAUUAUUAAAAUGGACAGUGUUUAAUUAAACCAUUUUUUACCUCAAUAUCCCAAGUGAGCUUUGGAGUGCGUAUUUGGAUUUGAUGUAGGCUGCAAGCUUUUAGCAGGAAAUAAAAUAUCUUGAAAUAUCUCAAAAUAAAACAAAAUGGACAGAAAUCCGUAAGUGUAGUUCAGUUGAUAGCUACCAGAGAUAAUGUUUAUAAGGGUUGGGGUUCAAAUCCCAAAUUCCCCACACUAGACUAUUGAAAAAAAAAAAAAAAAAAAAGACAGAAAAUAUAAAAUGUGUUAAAUUGAUGUAGAUUAUUGGAGGUGUUAAAAAAUCAUCAUUGUAUUCUAAUGCCUAAUUUAUCUUCUCCACAUAUCUUUUACUGUUCUUGAAAAAUGCAUGCAUAGAGACCUAACUUCGUGCUAUAUUCGUCUGUCCCUUGAAGACUUUUCAAAAAGACUCGUACACCAGGGCCCAUAUGCAUGGCAUAGCAGCCUCAAUUAUAGGACGAUAAUUUUACGUGAAAUUUUUAUUAUUACUUUAUACAAAUAUUUAUUUAUUUAUUAAAAUUUUACAUAUUUACUUUUUUAAAGUAUAGACAGAAAUUUUUUCAUUUAAGUAAAAUUAAUUUCGAUGUUAUUAAUUCAUUUCCUUUCAUCCUAUCAAAUUAAUGAAUACUAUCCUUGUUGGUAGGCAGAGUCUAGAAUAUUCUAGAUUAGUAUAUACACUUCUAGCUACCUAUCACAAAUUUUGCAUGCAUUUAAAUGAUUUAUCAUGGCAUCGUCUCAGGCUUGGUCCUUUUCAGAUAAAGACAAAAGUUAUGUCUCUGUUUACUUUUAAGCCAAAGUUUUUUUUUACUCUUGUGUAAAGUAAAGUAUAUGACUUUUGAUAUACGGAUAGGAUUCUGGGUUCAAUUGGAUAUAAUUUACCCCGAGGUAUAUAACUAUUUUCUUAUAUUGUUGUUGCUUUUCUAAAACUAUCAAUAAUGAAAGAGAAAUGAUAUUUGUACAACCAUUUUUUAUAAUUUUUAGAUAAAAAUUUCUCUUUCAUAUUCACAUUAUAUUCUUACCCUCUCUCUUCCUUUUUCUCUCUCCUUUGUUUUUAACCAAUGAAAAAAGAGAAAAAGAAGGUUGUCAAAAAGGUUGUACCAAAUGGUUGUUCAAAUAUCAUUGCUCUAAUGGAAAGGUCUUAAUAUCAUCUUUAUUUAGUCUCGUUUUGGAAAAGUGAUUUAAAAUCUGAUCCGAUCAUAACGAUUUUUACAUAAUAACAUAGAAACGCAUAAAAAAAAUAUUCGAUUUUUUAUGAUUUUUUUGUUUUUUGAUCGAUUUGCAGUUUUAUUUUGAAUCGGCUUGUAUUUGAACACCCCUACUUCUUACUCAUCCACACAAGGUAACUCGAAUCAAGGUUGAGAAGAAUAAUUAUUUGUUGAAUCUACCAUUUGUGGUGGACUAAUCUUUUAAAUUUCUCGUAAUAGUUCUUUUUACUUUCAUUCAGGUAUUCCUUAUCUGUUUCUGAUGUAACUUGAUUUUUCUCUUUGCUUCUCUCUAGUAUACUUUGUGUAGGGCAAGAAGUAAAGAGGUUUAGUUAUGGAAAUUCCAUAUUAGCUUUUUUAAAAUAAAAAAAAAUAGAACAAUUUGUUUCACCAUUUAAUUUUUAUAAUUAUAUUAUAAAUAGAGAGAUUAAAGUAAAGUUGACUAAAAAAUUCGAGUAGCUAAUAAGCUCGUACUUCCUCUAAUUCUUAUUAUACGAGAAAAUUUGUUUUUCAGAUUCAUUCACUAAAUAAUGUACCAUGUUUCUAAUAUAAAAUAAAUACAUCAUUUAUUGAAUCUAAAAAAUCAACUUUCUUUGAUAAUUGAGACCCAGGGUAGAACAUGGCAAGGGUUGAUUAUAGAAAAAUGCUAAAGAGUGUCUACACUUAAAAUGGUAAGAAAUUUUGAAAAUCUAUAUAACUAUUGCAUUAGAAAUAAAACUCUUUGACUUUUUAAUGAAUUUCUAAAUUAUAAAUUAUUAAAAAAUGUCAUAGAGACACUUGUUAGCGAUAUGAUCUGUUAUACUCUAUAGGUCGCGUCCUUUUUUUUUUUUUUGACAAGUGGGUCGCGUACCUAUUCUUAAUCAAUCAAAAAUAUGUUGGAUAACAUAUUUAAUUCACCGUUGAACAAGAAUAAUGUUUUUUUAUUUAUUGUAUCAAAGAAUAAUGUAUUUUAUUCACCGUACUAAUAUUAUAAAAAAAAAUAAAAAAAAUCGACCGUCGUUCUUUUAAUUUUUCUGUCCUAAAAAAAUACUCAGUUUAAACGAGCAAGCAUAUAUUUUCAAUAUCUAAUUUUUUUCUCAAUUUAUAUUCCACUCAUAUCAUAUCAUAUAAUAUACUUAUUUUUGGUCAAAAAAAAUAUAAUAUACUUAUUUAUAACAUUAAUCACAUCGUUGACUUAUUUCUUUCUCUUUCAAGAUACUGAGGAGAUUUUCUUUAUAAAAAAAAAAAAAAAAAAAUCCAUAUUGAGGAGAUGUAUGCAUAUGUACACAAAUCAUUAAAAGUGUAAUUGAGUUGUGUAAAACACAAAAAACUGCAGAGAUGGGAACAAAUAAAUUAAUAGAAACGGCAGCUUAGUUCAUGCUCUUACAUCAGUAAAAAAUUAGGUGGGAGUUAUUAUUUUUCCACAGAUUAGCAUAUAUAUACCCCACAGGUCCAUAUCAUUUUUCCCCUUAAAAAAAGUCCAUGUUACUUUUGUUUCAAUGUAUCCAAACUAGGAAAAGUCCGGAAAAUUAGAUUUUACCUAGGCAACAACACAUCACCAUUAAUUAUUUUUUCCAUUUUUUUAGUUUUCCAUGUUUUAAGAUUUUUUAUCUUUACUAAAAGAAUCAAUAAAUUCUAAUAUCUAUCUCAUUACACCUAUUUUUUUGUUACAUGAGAUAAAAAAGAACAAAGACACAAAAAAAUGAAAAGAAAAAAAUUAUGCCCUAAUAAAGUACACAUCAACCUUAUCCCCGUGAGCUUAACUCAGUUGGUAGGGAUAUUGCAUAUUAUAUGCAAGGGCCGGGGUUCGAACCCCGGACACCCCACUUCUCCACAAUUAAAUUGUGUGAACUCUAGCCACUAGACUACUUGACCAAAAAAAAAGUACACAUCAACCGUGUCAAGUAAUAAAUUAAGCCCUAAUAAGAAGAAAAAAAAAACAAAAAAUUAAGCCCUAAUAAAUUCCAAUAUCUCAUCACAACUAUUUUUUACGAGGGAAACAUGUCUAAUGUAGAUAAAAUAUAAUUGGUGCAAGUUUGUGAAUUUAGAUUAUGUUUUUUAAGAAGGUAAACUAAAUUAUCAAAAUUGACAUAAAAGAUAAUCAAACAUGAGACUCGAAAUAUACUUUCACAGUUUUUAAAAUUUCAAUUCAAAUUUAGAUUAUAUUCGAUUACAUCUAGAUCACAAAAGUAUAAAUUGAAAAAAUAUAAAAAAAAAAAAAAAAAAACUUUCUAAGAGCAUUACAACUUUAAUGUUAGAGGUGGCCUUUAAUUUGUUUAACCGUGUGUAGUUUUUGUUUUGUUUCGUUUUUGUUUGUUUUUCAUCCUUUUAUUUUGGGUUAGAUUUUUCUUCUCCUUGUAUUUUUUUUUUCUCAUUUAUUUUGAUAUAUUUUAAAAUUAUAAAGAACAACAGCAAUAAUAAUAAAUUAAUUGCCCUUAAAACAUUUUAAAACCGUCACUAGCAAGUUAAGGGAAGUCACCAACCACACAAUAAUGACCCUUAGGAUAGUUUAUUGAUUUAAGUCAUCAGAAGUAAGAAGAAAGAAGAAAGGGAAGGCACCAACCCAAACAAUGAUAUUCGAUGAUCAUGACUAAAAAAGGUUUAACUUUCAUAUCCAACCCCUGCAUAUGCAUAUGCUUGACUUUAAUAUUGGGAUAUGAUCCAAUAUUUUGCAUCAUGCAUAAGUUAUUUUUUUCAUCGUUAGAUAAAAAAAAUGUCACACCAUUGCACCAAAAAAAAUCACAUUAAAUUUAAGGGUUAAAUAUGUUAUUGGUCCCUAUAAAUAUACCAAUUUUUCGUUUUAGUCUCUCUAAAAUUUUCCUUCAACUUUUAGUCCCUAAAAAAUUUUCCAUCUUCACUUUUGGUCCUUCUUUUAAAGUAAACUCAUAUGUAGAAUUCAUAUUUUUGAAUCAAAUUUUUCAGAAAAAUUCAUAAUAUUAUAAGAAUCUCUCCCAAAAAAAUUAGAACUUUUUAACAAAACAUGAAUUUAAUAUGAAUUUUUAUAUUAUUUAUGGUUAAAAAUUCAUAUAUAAUUUAUGUUUACUUAAAAAAUUCUAAUUUUUUUUUUGAAAUGUUUUUACAAUAUUCUACACAUUUGUGUACAAUUUCAUUAAAAAAAAAAUACUAAAAUUUACUUUGAAAUAGGGACCAAAAGUAGUGACUCAAAAUUUUACAGGGACUAAAAGUUGAAGGAAAAUUUAAGAGGGACUAAAACGAAAAGUUGCUAUAUUUAUAGGGACCAAAAACAUAUUUAACCCUAAAUUUAAUAGUAAAAUAUAUUGAUCCGAUAAUAAAAACUAAUUUAUGUAUGUUGUAAAAUUUGUUUCAUUUAUAUACAGUAGGAUUGACAUAUCAUUUGCUAGAGUAAUGUUUCUUGGACACCUUAUAUAUGUAUGGCACACUUAUUUUACACUAAAAAAUAAAAUAUUUAAUAUAUAAAAACUGUUUUUUUUUCCUUCGAAAUGAUAAAAAUUGUUUAUUUUUUAUAAUAAUAUCACUUAUGGUGGAAGACGGCCGAAAACAUGCCAUAACAUAGAGCUCCAUCGACCAUCGAAACUUCACCAUCGAUCAUCGUUGAGUCACUAAAGCUCUUCCACCGACCACCUUGGAUCGUUAGAACUCCACACCAUCGGCCAGCCACCAUCAAUAUUGAGGUGUCAAACAAGUGUCCCUAUAUAUGAACCGUUUACAAAGGAAGAAACAUAACAAUGUAAAGGGUUAGAAAAUGCUUUGGAAGAGAAGAUAACAAAAACAAAACAUAGAGGAAGAAAGCAGAGUAUCUGAAAGAGAUGAGCACAUGAUCUGCGACGACAACAGAGGAAGAGAUGAAGAGCUCGUGUGAGAAGAUAAAGAGUUUGAAAAAUUUAGGGUGUAUAUUAAAACAAAAAGUUGAAAUAUUUAUAGAGACUAAAAACAUAUUUAAUCAACAAAAGUUUAUAAAGAGUUGCAUUGCACCCUUCAUCUUACAAACCGAUUUUAUGUGGUUGAGUUGCACUCAAUAUAAAAACCUAAUAUGGUAAUCGUUUGGGACCAUCUAUCAUUUAUAUCCACGCAUCAAACUCAAUAAUGUCAGGUGUGAUUUUAUAUUUUAUAAAGAGCGACUUCCAUCACCAUACAUAUCAGUUUUGUAAGAAUGCCGACUGAACAUAAAAACCUAAUAUCUAGUUACAUAUUUCAUUAAAAUAACACAUUUUGCACAUAUCACACAUCCAUUAUUUAUCCAAAAAAAAAAUCACACAUCCAUUAUACUUUUGCGCUUAAACCAUUAUAUUUUACAACUAAAUUAUAUAUUUUAUCUGUCUCAUUAUAAAUGUAUUAUUCGUUUUUUAUGUCUCAAAACUUUAAAAUAUCAAUAAACAAUUGAUUUACUUUUUAUUAGCCUAAAAAAAGUAAAAUUAAUAAGCUUUUGUAAUAAUGAAAUUCUCUUUUAUCAUUAAAAUUAACCCAACUAAUUAUUUACUUAAAAGUCGCGCCCAAAUCAAAACUCUUAUACUGGGAUAUCUUCAUCUUUGUUUUGGCCUAAAAUUUGGAGCAGCAAAUACUUCAUUUUAUGUUUUAUUUAAAUGGACAUAUUGGAUAAAUUACAGGCCGUGAAAUAUCAUGUCACAUACUUUUAUUUUCUUACAUACACCAUAUUAGUCAUUCAAAGUUCGUAUGAAUCUGCAAAAUCUAGUUUAAUUGUCAAUGUUGAUAUUGUUGGACUAGACAUAAUCAUUCGGAUUCUAAUAUGAUAUCUCAUAGUUGUGUUGUAUAUGAAUUUAUUUAUGUUGAUGUUUUUCAAUUUGUGUACAAAAAAGAAAAUGGAGGAGUUCUUUAGAAUAGUAAGAUAGGUUUAUAUAUAUGAAAGUAGCAUGUGAUUUUUUUUACUAUAUAGUACUUUUUUUAACUAUACAAUACUUGUAAGUUAAGGAAUCAAUCAUGCAAAUUAAAAUUAUAAUAUGAAUAUGUAAUUUAUAAUGAUUGUGUAUAAAUCAAUUAACAGAGAAAGCAGAAGACUUGUCAAAAAAAAAAAAAAGAGAGAGAAAGCAGAAGAUAUAAUAUGAAUAUGUAAGUUAUAAUGAUCGUAUAUAAAUCAAUUAACAGAGUGAAAGCACAAGAUAUGGACCUAAGAUCCUAUGGAAAAAUAAAAUAAAAAAAGAAAAAGAAGAAGAGACGAUUUAAUUUGAUAGCUAUACCAGCCCCAAAAGCAUAACAAAAUAUUAUAUUUUAAAACAUAAAUUGAGUAUCCAUUAUUACCAUUAUGCAACACUUUUAGUUUUCCUCAUGUCGCCUAGCGGGUAGAAAACUUGGAACAUAAUUGAUUUUUUGUUUUUGAAGGAUUGGAACAUAAUUGAUGAGGAGCUACAAGAUAACCUUUUCACUAAAAAAAUUCAAAAAGAAAAGAGAGAGAGCUCCAUUACACGUGAAAAAGAAAAAGUGGAUCCGGAUAUUCGUAAGACAAAUAGAUUAAAAAAUAAUUCCUGGCAAAAAAUAAAAUUUACUCAAAGAUAACUAUAUUUUAAAAAAUAAUGCUGUGUCAAAUAAUUGGAUUUUGGAAUAUUAUCAUAUCUUAAAUAAAGUUUAUAGAACGAUUCAUCAUUGAUCAUGUUUAAACUCGAUUACUUGGUUGAAGAUACAUUCCUUUAACAGUAGGGUAACAAAAGUAUUAAAUAUGACCCCUAAAAAAACAUAUAUUAAAUAUCAACCUAGUUACCGACAGAGAAAGAAAGGAUUACAUGCAACGACGUGCUCAUAAAGGAUCCAACGGCCACAAUUUGAUUAGAUAUUGUUGUCAAAAAUGUGACCAAGUAACUACGUGGUACAUGCACGUCACAAAUGGUAACAAAUGCAAAAGUCAAAGUAGAUUCACAUCAAUCAAUUCCACAAUACGUGUCCUUUGUGUUUGGUUUGUAGUUUUCUGUGAAGGUUCCCAGUUUGAAUGAAUACUUGCAAACAAAGUCCAAAAAUAUUGAUAGGGAAACCAUAGAAAGGUUAUCGAAAUUGAAUUUUAAUAUGUAAUAAUACGUACAAAUUUGUGUUUUAAGAUGUUACAAAUGAACGAAGAAACAGAAUAUGAUGCUACCAUUCACAUGCAUCAUGUGUUUUUCGUGCUUUUUUCCUUCGCACUAUAUAACAACAUUCCUCAAAAUGAAUCAACUCGUUUGUUCAAAUUUUGAAAAAUUCGUGAAUGAGACUACGUUGAUUCGGAUAGCUUGGAUUAUUGAGGACUGUUAUAUAAAACGAAAAAUGCCUCAUGAAUUAAUCUUUAGAGCCAAUCAAAUUUGCUUCCGGGCGGAAAACACGGGGGGUGGGAUGUUAAGUUGUGUUGAUAUAUUUUUCAACGUCAUGUGAUAUACAUCUUUGGGAUGAUUUCGCUUUCCCUUUCUAGCUAUACAUAUCAUUUCCCUUGCUGAUAAAUUUGAGUAGAUUUGUUUCGUUUGGCAUUUAGUAAUUUUGAGAUUAUGACAAACAUUUUUGAAAGUACAAGUAAAAAAAUGCUAUUUUUUUUUUCAAUACUAUCGUAGAAAGAUUAAACUUUAGAAGAAAUUACACUUGUAUUUUUGGAUAGUUUUAAAUCUUUAAGAAGUUAGAAUUUUGUUAAAAAAUUUAGCUUGAUAACCUUAGAAGUAUGGAUUCGUGAUGACUUUUGUAAUAUUACUUUUUUUUGUUUUGUUGCAACGUUAGAUUUUUGAAGUUUUAACAAAAAUAACAAUCAAAGUAACAUUGUCAUUGUGAUAUCGUCAAUUAUACACUAAUUUGAUAUUGAUCCAUCAUCUGAUAUGAAGACGUACAUGCAUGAUGUGUCAAAAUAAUUUUUAUGUCAAAAUAGCUUUGGUAGUUUCAAAAUCAAGAUCAUUAGUUAAACUUGAAUAAUCUCUCCCAUCCAAAUGUUUUUGGAUCUGAUUUUGUUGGAACACUCAACCUCAAAGAUCAUUUAAUUUUCGAGGUAUUUGUUUGCAUGCUAAUUUUUAGUGAAAAAGAUUGAUGGACACCCAAUGCAUCUCUCUCUCUGGUUGAAAAUGUAUGACACGUCUAUGGAAUUGGUGGAUGAAAUGUUUAAAUAUCACCAUCCUAAUUUUUUAGAAGGAUUCGAGAUUUAAUGUUUACAACUGUGUUUGAAAAUUUUGGGGUCUUAGGGUGCGUUUGUUUUGCUAAAAAAUGAAAGACAAGACAGAACAACUCUAAUUGUCCAGUGUUUAAUUUGUAAAACUGUUUCAGGUACAUGACAACUUGGAGGCAAGGGACAGGACCAAAACUCAUAUUUUUGUCCCUCACCAAACCACAUCACAACUUUUUGUCCCACGUACAAGUUGUCUAAAAUAGCAAAAUAGUUUUUAUUCCUCAAAAAUCGUAUAAAACAAAAAAUUACUCAAUGCCAUAAAAAAUUUGUCAUGUGUUGUUCUACCUUGUGUUGUAUUGUUCUAUCUUCUACUGUUCUGUCUAGUACUUGCUGUUUUGCAAACCAAACACAUCCUUAGAGUUUUGACAAGAUAAAUUAAUUACUCAAUAAAUCUAAAAAAAUCAAAUAUUUUUUAUAAAUAGGACCGGAAGGAAUACUUAAUUGUAUGCAAUGCCUCCCAUGUUUUUCGGUAAUGACCAAAUUCAAUUAGCUAAGCACUUUUCGGGAUGAUUUCUCCCGCGAGCAAUAGCAUUGCUAAAAAAAAUAUACAUACAUAAACUAUCAGUUUCAUACUAUUAAUCUUCUGAUUUGUUUUAGCCACAAUUUUAUAAUCAAGCAUUCUUAACAUUUCAUUCUUAGUAAAUAAAAUCUUUAAUUUACUAAAUCUGUUGAUGAUCUUAGAUAGAUUUGGAGAAAAUAUUAAAAAGUUAAACUAUAUUUGUAUGUAAAGGAGUAAAUAAUAGUUUUAUCAAUGUAAAAAAAUUAGUAAAUACGAUUUAUUGGGUCAAUUAGCUUAAUUGCAAGAAUCACAUCCUUUUUUAGUGUUCCUUUCUUUUGAGAUAUAUCAGGAAUUACUUAUAUAUGAAUAGAAGGCAAACGAACAAUAAGAUGCGUCGAUAGAUCUUUUUGAAUGACACAUACCUUAAACGCAAAGAAGUGAGAAAUCACAUACAUCGAAUAAUUCUACAACUAUCAAUUAAGUUGUGCGCACCAUUAAUUGAUGAUUACACUUCAAUCAACCUUUGGAAAGUUGUUACAAUGUUAAUUGAUGAUUACACUACAAUGACACACUUUUAAAAAAAUUGUGGUACACGGUUAAUUGAUGAUUCCAUUACGAGGAGACUUUUACAAAAGAGGAAUGUUAGCAACACUCUCUUUUGAACACUCUCUCUAGCACUCACUCUUUUCUUGAGUGAAAUUAAUGUAUGUCCCACCACUUUAUGUGAGUUGUAUUUCCAAAGUGUAGGUCCUACAUUAAUUUUAAUAAAAAAAUGUUUUACGGAAAAUGCUAAUCCUUCGAGGGGAUGGGAUUGAAUGAGAAUUUUAAAGGGGUAACUUUUGCAUAUAUUUGUUAAUUUUUUUAAGUGUCUUAUACUUAUAUUUUGAGUACUGCUAUAUUGUAUGAGAUUUAUCAACGAAAUUCAUGGAAUGCACACUUGUCCAAUUUUUAAGGAAUAAAAAGAGGGUUAUGAAGUUGUUUAACAUAAAUCAUGGAGUAGUGACCAAUUAUUCCGAUCCAUAAGCAUUUUCAUUAUCAUUUUACGGAUUACAUAGGAUUGUUAGCUUUGUGAAUUUGGAAUAAACUGCAUUCGUCAUUUUUCAUUGUGUGUCUCUCUCGUACCAUCAAGCAUUAUCAUUUUUUAGAUGAGUGUUUUUUUUUUGAAGAAAUCCUUACACGAUUUUUUAGGGUUAAGGCCUACUGCCUUAUGGUUUAUAAGGCCAUGCUUUGGAAGACCUGGAUUCUAUAGCUACAGAAUUGUUCUGCAGUUGUAGGAAUUGUUAUGUUAUAUUUCGAGAAAAUCCCAUUCUCCAAUGAUUUAAACACACCCUACUUUGGACCACUUCAUUUGUUUUAACAAAAAUUGGACCACUUCAUUGUAUCAUCUAUCAUGAUCUCGGUGGAAGGUCUCGUUCUCUCUCUCAUAUUUAUUGUACCACUUUAUAAAGAAUCCCAGGAUUUUCUUAAAAGAAUCCAUGACAUGCUUUAUUGGUGUUGACAUCUCAAAUUUCAUUUCAUACUAUUUUUAAGUAAUUUCACCACCGUAAUGACUCAAUUUUAUAUAUAGACAACCAUGUUAUGAAAGUUAUCAAUAAUUUUGAAAAUUAAUAUGAAAAAUUCCUAGCUUCUACAAACCUCAAAAGUGAAAGAUUGAGUUUCAAUGGUGUUUGGUUUGCCUUUUAAGAAUUGUUUCUAUCUUCCAUAAGAAACUCUCCUUAUAGCUACAAUUCAUAGCUUUUGGUUUUCAUAGAAUCAAUUCUACGUUAAAUUUUAUAUUUUCAUUAUUACAACCUAUUAUUUUCCUAUUUUGCCCUUUAUCAAUUCUCCUUCUGUUUGCUUUGUAAUUAACUUGAUGAACCAAAUUUAAUCAGAAAACUUAACGAACCAAAUUAGCCUCCGAAAAAUAUUUAUUGUCAUGAGUUACCAAAUUUUGGAUUUUCUUUUACGGUGUCCCCAUUCAGAUUUAGUGUAUUUUUUCCUUUACCUUUCUUUUACGCUAUAUUUUAUCAUUUUUAGCAACUAACUUUAAUAUUAUUUAACUUAAAUAUAUUUUAUCAAAAAAAUGAAAUAUAUGAACAAAUAUUUUGUAAAAAAAUUAGUUUAAUGAUCGUAUUUAUUAUGUUUUAAAUUAAUAUAUAGAAAAUUUAUUUAUAUUAAAUAAUAUAUCUACAUUUAAUUGAAUUUAGUUAUGUCGUAAUUAUACAUUUAAAAAUAAUUUUGAUAAAAAUUAUCCAAACAACAUUCAGUUUGUUUAAUCAAUUCUACAUUAUUGUAUCCAAAUAUAAACUAAUUCUCUCAAAAUUAAUUCUGUCAUAAUCAAUUUUAUCCAAAGUUUAAUCAAACGCAAAGUAACUUUUCCCAGAGCCAGUUUGUUCAUGUGUAUUUUUCAAUAAAGUGAUUGAUAUGGGAUUAAUAAAUAAAUAGUAACCAUGCACGACGUCAUCAUAGUCACAAUAUAUAUUCAAUCAGCAUUGUAAUGUAAAGGUAUAAAUCCUAUUUUUACGCCAUACUAUAAAUAGCAAAGAUGUGACCAUACAAUGUAAAUUUGAUUUUAACCAAAAUAUAUUGCAUGCACGCAACACUCGAUUAUUAUCAUUAAUUAUGAAAGACAAUCAUAUCCGGUAUACUUUGAAGGUGCCAUGCACUCCAAAUGAAGGAAAAGAAAUGAGUAUAGGCAAUGCUUUAGCACAUGGGGACGAGUAAGGGAUUUAUCUAGAUAGAUGCUGUCCUUUUUCCUUUCCCUCUCUCAUGCAUGGCUCUUGAAGUUAUGAGUGCAAUCAUGUGCAUGUCAUGUACAAACAAAAUCACGAAUAUCAUAUCAAAAGAGUAACGAAAUUUGUAUAAUAUAUGAUGACAAUUUUGUUACUCCUCUGUUCCGCAAUAAAUGACAUAUUUGAAUAUGUGCAAUUUUGAUCUAACUUAUUUUGACCAUAUUUUUCUACUAAUAUACAAAGAUAAAUAAUAUCAUAUAAGAUGUCGUUAGAUUCGUCUCGAUGAGUAUUUUCAAAAUAUCAAAUUUUCAUAAUUUUUUCCAAUAUAUUAUUCAAGAUAUUUAAACUCAAAAUUACGCAUUGAUAUGCGUAAUUGGAUCAACUGUGUCACUUAUUAAGGGACGGAGGGAGUACAAUUUUUUUUAUUGAUAAAAAACAAUAGAAAAAAAAAAAGAGAUGAUAAGAACAUGAGUAUGAGAGAAAGAGAGCUGUUCAAAAGUUAUUACAAAAUGAUUGUACAAAUAUAAGUGUAAAAUACUUGGUAAUAUCGUUUCACCUACGGUGUUAAGUUGGUUAUUCAAUUCUUACAAUGUUCUUGCUAGAGAAAAUGCGAGAACACUCUCAUUUUAAGACAUUUUCUAUCACUUAUUAUUAUCUUAUAUGAUAAAACUUAUAUAAGUUUCAUCACUUUACAUAUGAUUUAUUUUUAAUGUGUGAAACUCAUAUAAGUUUUACACCAAUUAUAAAAGAAUGAGUGUUAAAGAGAAUAUUAAAAAAAUAUUCAUAGCAUUUAUGGUUCUAAUAAAGAGUACUCCUAGUAUCUUCGCUGGACACAUGUGGUAAUUGAGAAAAUGAAAACGAAAAUAAAAAUUAUGCAUUAUUGAUUUUCUAUUUUAAUUAAAAUAAUAUUUUAGUCCAUUCAUUUGUUCUUCUUGUUUUUUUUUUUUUUUUAUUUUACAAAAAGAAACAACAUUCAUUCAUUUACAUUGAUAUAGUAUAUUAAAACCAAGACACAAAUUUAAGAAUUAAACUCAAACCUUAAACGACUAAUAUUGUGAGACGGAGAGAGUAUUGCUAAAAAUGAAAAAAAAUGAUGAAUCUGCAAACAAACUCAUAAUAUCUAAAUGUAAAUUUUGAAUCUAUAAUCAUUUUAAGCUAUGUAAAAAUGAAAAUUUUAUGAGAAGAAUGUAGUAACAUUUCUUUUCUAACUCUAUUCUUCUAAGGCCUUCACUUAAUCUUCAUGCGAAUAAAAACCAAAAUAUUUUGAUAGUAAGAAAUCGUAUUCUCCCUUUUAUGUAUUAAUAAUGUUUCUCUAAUCCGUCAGAAUAAUAUGAGAGUGAUAAUUUGGAGUUCGACUGUGAAGUAAAUAUAAUUGACUAAAAAUAUUUCAUUUAAGAAUUAAACUCGAGUUGUUUCGAAUGAUCUAUAAUUUGGUCGAGUUUAUUAAUCACUUGAACUCAAUUUUUUUGGUGGUGAUUGAGGUUUGAGCCUCAAACCUUGUUUAUAUUAUGUAUUGUCUCUACCAACUCAGCCGAACUCAUGAGGAUAAUCAUUUGAACUCAAUUGUUAAUGGAAAAACGUUUCUUUAAUUAAUUAAAAUUGUUUCUAUUAAAAUGGGAGCACGAUAAUUGCAUUAAUAAUGAAAAUAAAAAAGUACUGGUAUAAUUGAACAAAGGCCCCACUGUAAUUUCCUCAACGAAUGAGAAAGAAAAACAUUAUCCGAUCUAUUAUUGCUAUGGGAAGGACAAGGUACCGGGCAUUUAUGAUAAUUAAUUAAUUUUGCCUUUAUUUAGGGGAUUAAUUUUGCUUUGUUAUGAGUACUUUUCAUAGAUUUACAAUAUGCUUAAACAUGGAAAGGAGAAGACUAACGAGUGUCCCAAAGAUAUUGAUUAAGCAUACAAAACAAAUAAGUUUUCCUAAAAAAUGUGCAUAACAUCUUAUAUUUUUAAGACAAAACUUAUAUUACUAGAUUCCUUAACUAUUGCUUUUGGGGUAUAGGUUAGCAAGAUCCAAAAAGAAAAUAGAAAAAAAAAAGUCAGCAACCAACUACACAAAUGACGACAAGGGAUGACAAAGAUUACACUUUUGAGUAAAUUUAGGAAUUUGCACUUUCCACUUUUUCAAUUUCAGUCUUUUUAUACCAUCUUGGAUAUUACUCCAAUUUUUACCCUUAACCCGGCAGCUUUAAAUAGUCCCUAUUAGUAGCCAUCAGAUUGAUAAAUAGAAACUCAUUGAAUUAAUUUCAACCCAGCAGCUUUAAUCAAAAUUUCGUAUAGUUUGGUGACCAUAUUUAAUAGGUUUAACAACAAUUUUGGCCCCAUAUGUUUUAAUAAGUUGCAAUUUUGGUUCUCUACCAGAAUAAAAUACAAAACCGUCCCUUAAAUAUUACCCUUUUGCAGUUUUGACUCCAGACCAAUUUUGAUCAAGUCAAAGCUGAGUGGACACCACGUAUGCAUUGAUUUGGUCAAAAUUGGUAUGGGGAGCCAAAACUGCAAAAGAGAUAAUACUUAUGGGGCGGUUUUGUAUUUUAUUUUGUUAUGGGUCAAAAUCGCAACUUCUGGAAACAUUGGGGGCCAAAACUGAUAUUAAACCUAUUUAAUAUGAUGUAUACAUCCUUAUGUUUUUAUUAGAGUAAAUAGUCAAUUUCCCCUCUGAAUUAACAAUACUUCAAUUUACAAGAAAAUGAAUGAAUAUAUGCCAAAGAAAUCAUGAUUUUGUCAUGUGGAGCCUUUUCAUUCAUAUUUCAUAUUUAUCAACAAGGAGCAAGAUAAAUUUUUUACAAAGAAGGUAAAACUAAAAACCAAACAUUCAAAAGAUAUCAAGUUGUUGAAAUAAACCAAGACAAGAAUGUCAUAGCAGCAGAAAAUUGAUAUCUAUCACAUAACUUUGUAGUACAAUGUGAUCUACCGGCUUCAUGCAGAAGGUAUAUGACAUAAUCUAUUUAACAUGCUCCAACUAAUAGAUAUGACAUUUCCUGUAUUAUAAAAAUUAUAUCAUUAAUUAAGUUGCAAAUUCACAAACCUAAGCCUUGUUUCUUCUUCCAUCUGCAGAUAUUAACCUAUGAAUUUUCUUUAUGGACACACAAUUAUCAAAGACUUGUGUACUUUAUGACUGCUUACUCUAACAUAAUUACCAACUUGUGUAAAAAAAAUUCUUCUAUAUAUGUAUAUAUUUAAAACACAUGAGAGUAACAUACCUUCCAUAAAGAUUUAUAUGACCAAUAACUGCAUAAACAUACAUUCCAUGCAGAUUUAUAUGAUCAAUAAUUGUUAAUUUGUUUGCCUUUAAUAUCUUGAGUCAAGGAUAAAAAAAUAAUAUAAAUUUUCUAGUUUAGGAGGCAUUUUGCACAUAAGUGUAAAAUUUCAGGGGGGUAUUUGAUCAUAACCGUAAACAGUUAACAGAAAAAUUUGACGGAGGGAGUAAAUUGAUUAAUGUUAUGCAAUUUCAGGGGGGUAAUUGAAGUUUUGUUAAUUUCAGGGGGUAAUUGACGAAACCUAUAAUUUCAGGGGGGAAAUUGACUAUUUACUCGUUUUUAUUAUAAGCAAAAUUUCAUUUUUUUUAUAUUUAUUAAAUAAUUGAUAUAUUUGGUCUAUAUUACAAAUUAGAUAUAUUAAUAUUCAAUCCUUUGUCUGAUUGGAUAAAAUGAAACUUUGAUGGUGCUGCAAUUGGAGUACCGGGUAAUGCAGCUUGGGGUGGUAUUUUUAGAAACUAAAAUGGGGAUCACUUAGGAAGUUUUGCUUUCAACAUAGGCAAUGACAACGCUUUACAUGGUGAGCUAACCGGAGCAAUGAUGGGAAUAGAAAUUGCAGCGUCAAAGAAUUUGUCGAAACUUUGGUUAGAGACAGAUUCCAAAUUAGUUGCUUCAGCUUUCAAGAAUCCUUCUUUAGUUCCUUAGAGAAUAAGGAAUCAAUAGUUUAAUUAUAUUCACCUUUCAUUAUAUAUGAGAUUUUUGGUUGCUCGUAUAUUUAUGGAAGAAAAUUAUUGUGCAGACAAAAUGACAAAUAUUAGUUUAACUUCUCAGAAUUUAGUUUGGUUAGAUGAUGUACACAGGGAUAUCAGAGUGGAUUUUAAAAAAGGGCAAUGCGGUGCAUUAGAGCUUCCGCAUAUGCAAUAGAAAUGGGCCAGCCCGCCUCGAUCCGUUUAUGAUUGGGCCGUGAAUUCUAGAGCCUGGCCUGGCCUGUUUAUGUUUUAUUUUUAAAAUUUAUUCACUUUUUUGAUGUAUUUUCGUAUGUAUUAGUUACUCACCAUUAUUUUUUUGCUAAAAUAUGAUUGGAUGAACAUAAAAAUAUAAAUAAUUUUUACAUUAACAUUGAAUAAUAAUUAAACUCUAGAUUAUUCUUUCAAUUAAAUCAAAUUAAUAAUUUAUAAACUUUAAAAUUUAAAAACUGCAAGCUAAAUUCAUCCAUAUUUAUUAAGUUUAUUUAUUUAAAUAUUUUUUUGUUAAUAAAUUUUAAAUUAUUUGAUAAUUUUUUUAAAAAAUAUGUUGUUUUUUAACAAAAAUAAAAUGAAAUAUGGGCUAAUGGGCCGGCCCAAAGUCCGGUGGGCCAGUCCGACUCAACUUUUGUAUGGCCCAAAUGGGCUUGGGCCGAAAAAGCCCGAGUGCAUUUUUUGGUUAGUUUUUUAGGCCCGGCCCAUGAGCCCGACCCAUUUUUGACAGCUCUAAUUGUACGCAGCUUUACCUUGUUUUACACAAGAGGCUGUUUCCAGGAUAUCAGAGCGGACUUUGCUAGGAACAAAUUAAGGUCUCUCUUGUUUUCGCUUUGCUAACUGAAAGGGUUUUGGCCGGUAUAGUCUACCAUUUCCUCUUUUGUUCCCUUUUUAUUUCUAUAUUUACUAGGGGCAACCCGUUUUUUUGCUUAAAAAAGACAGUAAAAUAACAUCAUCAGUGUGUAUAUCUCUAAUAGCGACAUUACUUCUUCAGUACGACUUUAUGAUGAUCCACGAGUGAUUGUAUAGAUCAUGGAUUCUCUCUAUUUUUUAGUAAGAGAAAUGGAAUUGGAAAUGUAUAUUAUUAUAGUUUUGAAGUAAAUAAAAAUAUAAAUACACGUCUGUGUGAAGUUAUCUUAGUUAGUAAGGACAUUUAAUAAAAUAUGUAGGGGUCGGUGUUCGAACCUCAGAUAUCCUACUUAUUCAUCUUAUAAAUGUCAUUUUUUAGACAAUAAAUUACUUGAUUAAAUAAUAAUGAUAUAAUACACUUUUUUUUUUUUUUAAAAUUGAAGACAUUAAUUAUAUUUAUGGAGUAUAUCAAAAACUAUAUAGUAAUCAAGAUGUCUAUUUAUUAUAAGAAAUAAAGAUGACUUAUAAUAAUUAAGAUGUCCAAUUUGAAAAAUCUUUUAAAAUAACUAAGAUUUAUUCAAGAGAAUGAUGUCUAGCAAUAUACUCCAUCCGAUCUCAAUUAUAAGUAAAAGUUAAUUUUUUAUAUUAAUUCAAUAAAUAAUGAAUUCAAUAAAUAUUAUAGACAAAAUAUAUUAAUUAUUGAAUGAAUCUAAAAAUGUAAAUUUUUGUUUAUAAUUGAGACCGGAGAAAGAGAAUAUAGCACUUUGAACUUGAUCCUUUUCAUGUAACAUGUCCUUCAUUCUCUCUCCAUCAUCUCUGCUCUCUGCUUGGAUUCUAUCCUUCACCGUACAAAGGGGCAUGAGAGAGAAUAGAAAAUUGUAGGGUAAGAAAGAGGUAAAAGAGGAGAGAAGAGAUGAGAUUGAUAGAGAGGAUAUGUAUGGUGAUUGAGAGAUGAAAGAAGAUAAUCCAAAUCAAUGUUCUUACUAAUACAGUGCGUGGUCGUCAUGUCAGAUUAAUAAUACAGUUCAUGCACAUGAUAUUCAAUCUUCACAGUAAUAACUUUUGUAUUUUCUAGACAAUGUUCCAAUCAUUUUUUUCAAAGAGUUGAAAGUUUAGCAUAGAUAUAAAUUAGAAAACUUGGUUGAAAAGUAACAAUCGAGCAAAAUAAUUCAAAAUUAGCAGCACAAGUCCUGCAACAUUAUGACAUCGUCUACAAAACAAUAGUAAGAUAUUGUUAACUAAGAUUUUCAGAAAAUAAGAUUGCCUCAAAAACUAAAUAAUUAAGAUUUUACUCGCAUAUUAUAAAUCCAUAUAUAAUAUUUAUAUCAUAAAACUGUUGCAUUAUAAAACAGCAUUUCUUUUAAUUUUAGUUUUUUUGUACAUAAAAAGCAAUAAUAAACAACUCAUUAACUGUACCUUAUAAAGGACCACACAUAAUGUCUCUUCACAUGAAAACGACUGCUCUAUGAAUUGAUUUUUUAUUUUUUUUAACAAAAUUGGAACUAUCAUUUGCUUGAUAUCUUGUGGAAACAGACUAAUUUUUAUAGCUCUUUGGAAGGCGAAUUCAACUCUUAGUAUGUUUGUGGGGCAUUAUUUAACCCAGCCGCUGAAAAUAGCAUAGGGCUGUUGAAAUGAAAUACACUAUCUGUUUCUCAAGUUCAUUUUAGGCAGAACUCCAAUUUGAAUUCUUACCCAUAUUAUUGAAAACUAUAAAACAAAAUCAAUACAAUGAUGGUAUCAUUUAAGCAACAAAAUGCACAAACUACAAAUACAUUAGCAUAUGCUUUACAUUAUCACUAUUUAUACAACACGGUAAUCGGCUAUGACCAACCCGUAAAUGUCCAUAUUAGUUUUGCUCAAAUGCAAUUGUAGUUUGGUCUUAGCCUGUCUAGGCUAUAAGCGCAUACAACCUUAAAGCCCUAGGAGAACCAGCUCACCUCUUGCCGCGAGGUCCAGGCCCGCCACUUCUUCGGCCAGGAGACCGAGAAAACUGAAGGCGCAAGUAGCUUGACUCAGGAUUGAUUUCAUCAACUUUAUAGCCUGCAUAACCCGUGAAGAAAUGAAUGCAUAAUUAACAGAAAAUCAUAAACAACUUAGUUCAAAUCCUAAUAGAGUUUAUCAGCGACUAAGAUACUUUAGGAACCAAUAAUUUGCAGAAUUUUGUAGUACAGAAUACAGAGGAGGCAGACACACUAAAGUGAAGGAUGAUAAUUAAAUCAGAAGUGAUGACCAUGAUAUUGAUAGUUAAUAUAACAGCAUCCCAGUAUGUGAAAAUUUAAUGUACUUUUGACCUGGAAUAUUACAAACAGAACCAUGGAUGUUGGGACCCAUUUUCAGUUUUAACUGCUCUAGUAACUGUAAAGUAUUGGUUUGAAUCAAGCUCUACAUCACAUGUAACUCACACAUUCAGUGUGACAAAGUGAUUUACAACUUUCCAAGUUGUAAACCUCGGUAAAUCUAUGAAUUAUUACUUGUUUAUAAACAUUAAAUUCAUCACCACUUAAUAACCACGUCUUGAUUCAGCACCAACUACCUAGGUGCAGUUUUCAAUUUUUACAUGCUCUAUCAGGUUAUAACUUAUAUAGAUGAUUCUCUAUUGGACAACUUACAAACCCAUAACAUGAAAUCAAUUUCCUUUUAUAUCAGCAUGUAAAAAGAAGUGAUACCUUGCAAGGCGCUCAAGGCAGUUGCUGCACAAGCCGGAUUUGCAAAAUCUACAAAACAAAGGAUUAAAGGAUCUCCACCUCGCUGCAAUAAACAAGCGUUUCAGCAUAAAGAGCACAACAGAACUUUAAACCAAUCAGGUGAUAAACCAAGACAAAAGAGGACAAGCAACAACUGUUACAAACAUGCACUUACAUGUUUGGAUUCUUUGGCCACAAGUCUUACUUCUCUAUAUCCGACAAAAGGGCGAAAAAUAUCUAAAUAUGACGUUAAGGAACUUGAAUAAUUGAAUUAAAAUGAAUAAAGCCCAGGAGACACUGAUUAAAGCAUGAUAAUGCGAUUUCUAAACAGUAUCAUAGAAAAAAAUAAAAAAGAUACGAGCCACUUCUCUUUUUGUGCUGUCAGAUGGGAGCCCUUCAACAUAUAAAGUACUUGAAGCAUCUCGGGGUAGUGGUAUUGUCUCAGGCCCGGGCCUGGAAACUGCAUCUAUAGGUAGCUGACCACCAAAAUUGACAUCACGCCCAUUUCGUGAAAGAUCAGGGCCACCACCAACACCACUAAGAUGCCCCAUGGCAGAAGGAUCACCCAGAGAAUGGCCUGGCAAUUCACCAACACCCCUUGCAAAUCCAACACCACCAAUUACACUAGCCUCCCCAGAAUUAAAUGAAGUAAGCUGCUUCACAAUCAAACAGGAUGAUAGUUUUCAGCAAACAACCAGUGAUAGCUAGCACCUGUGCGCACAUUAGAUGUAAAAUAAAAUGGGUUAUGAUAUUACCCCUGCACUCUGAAGGAAGCGGUCAUAAGCAGACCCGAGUAUUUUAGUGUCGUUUAGCAUUUGGUGACCAUUGUUUUGAGCAAUAUAAUUAUGCACCUCAUUGCCUGAGGUUACACCAGAAGGUGCCGUAUCUGCAACAUUACAUAAUCUGGUCUCAGAACUUCCACAUCUUUAGCAAAAAAACUAAAUCAGAAAAAUGCAUUUAAAAAGGUUUGGUUUAUUUGCAAUAGCAUAUAUCAUUGCUAUUCUAACGAUCUUAUAUUAUAGUGUUGGGUUGGGGAGAAAUGAAGAAGAGGGGAGGGAUCAUUUUGAAAUUUCCUUGUUUCCAAUUUUCGGGGAGAGAGGGAAGGGGAGCAAAAUCCUUCCAUACUCAAUUUUGACUCACCAUUCGGGGAAUCAGAGAGAAGAGCACAUAAGAAAAGUAUCUUAUAUUAUCAAGAUAUUAUUUAGAAAUAUCUCAUAGGAUUAGUUUUUUUAGAUUAUCUCUUAAGAUUAGUUUCUAUUGUAGUUAUUAUCACCGUUUAUUCCCAUAUUCAAUUAAGAUUAGGUGUCUUGUGUCCGUAUAAAUACAGGCCAUGCUUAGUUGUUUUGUAUCAUCAAAUCAAAAAUCAUGAUCUUAUUUUCCGCCUUUAAUCUUUCUCUAAUCUUUUUAUCUAAAACCCCAUAAUUUAAACAUGGUAUCAAAGAGAUCCACCGCUGGAAAAACACAUUCUAGUGAGAAUUUUCGACAAAGCCAAUCUCAAAAGCAGCUGAAUUUGCCGAUCUUCCAUGGCCCAAAAUUUUGAGCCCAGUUCUCACACUUCACUCACAAAAGCUCUCAGGCCGCUGCUUCAAACCCACAUAUCAUGUGACGCUUUCCCAGGGCUUAUGAAAUCGCUGCUGCUACUGUGCUCGCUGGCUUUUUCUAGUUCAAUUGUCCAUUUGUUCGAUAUUUGGGUCAGCAACUUUUGCUACACUUUGAUAUCUGCAAGUUGUGUCUCUUCCUUACUGGCCUUCAGCUGCUUCUUUGGUGUUGGUGGUACUGUUUUGCUAUGCCACAGUUAAUACAUGCUAUAGCUGCUACUUUUUUGUUUUGGUUUCUUUCAAAGCUGUUGUGACACCUUUCAGUUAGGGCUAUAAUGUUGUAAGCACUAGCCUAGUAAAGUUUGAAUUUGGUUUGAAGUUGUGACACCUUUCAAUUAAGGCUUCAGUUGUUGUAAGUGCUGGCCCGAUGUUGUUGUAGUUCGGUUUACUCGUUGUUCAUAAAAAUUAGCUAUGGUUCUUGCACUAGUUUCUCUUCCACAGAUUAUAUUUGAAGCAAGCUUAAGGUGGAGUAAGCUUUAGCUCAAUGGGGAGUGUUAAAGAAUAUAAGAAAAUAUCUAAUAAUAUCAAGACAUUAUCUUGAAUUAUGGCAUGGUUAUUUUCUUGUCUUUUGAGUAUAUUUUAAAGAUUAGUUUCUAUAUUAGUUGUUAUUAUCAUAAUUUGCUUUUCUAUUCAUAAGAUUACGAGUCUUGUAUCCCUAUCGCUUGGCGUUAGAGCUUAAACUCAUUGUAGCACCAAUCAUAAUCUUAUUUUAGUCUUUAGUCUUUAUCUCCUCUCUUUAUCUAAAACUCCAUAAUUUAAAAAAAAAAUAAAAAAUAAUUGAGCGCAGUAACAAAAAUAUUCAUGAUUAAAAAGUAAAUUAAAAAUUUAUAAAGAUAUAAAAAGUAAAUGAGUCAUUCCCCUCCCCCCUCCCCUUGUGAACGAGAUGGUAACCUCCCCUCCCUCAGUUGAACGAAAGAGACCCUUAAUCAACAACUGUAAUAGUAUACAUCUAAAUACGCCACGUGUUAGAAAAACUCAGAAAACUAAAAAACAUGUGCCACAUACUGCCAAGCAAUCUAACAACAAACAAGCAUGCUUUACGAACAUUGCUAACAGCUACAAAAUUGUCAGUACAACCAAAAUUGAUUGAUAAAUCCAGCAUUGCUAACUGACUAUUUGAACAUUUGAAAAAGAAUCUACGAACAGAACAGAAUUACAAAAUAACAUGAACGGAAUUAACAAAAACAAACUGUAUCUAUAAAAAAUCAGGGACAAAUUCCACACAUUGUCCAUGAACUACUCAUCACACUCUAGAUUCUAGAUAUAGCAAAAUAUCAAAAUAAAGAAUAUAUAACAGUUAACAAAUCAAGCAUUCCGAAUGGUCAUGUAGCUAGUGGUCUCCACAUAAAUGAAUUCAUAUAAAUCCGUAGCAAAUUUCUGCACCUACUUCUGUUUUAACGAAAAAUGAUUUUAAAUUAAAUUCAUACAUCCAAAUUUGGUGUAUGAUAGAACACUAUGGCGUCAUUUGAUCCAUGUAGCCGACCUCACUUAGUGGGAUAAGGCUUGGUUGUUGUUGUUGUAAUUGGAUGUUCUUUCUUUCUAAAAAUCAAGGGGAAAUAGCUUCUGUAACUUGUAAAAUACUUUUACAAAGGGCUUUAUAAGCACUGCAAAAGGACGAAACAAACUCCCUCAAACCAGCAUACUAAAGUUUGGACACGAUGGGGUGAGCCCGGAAACUUUUUUUUAAAUGGCAGAUGUUAGUGGUUAGAUUAAUAUUUACUCAUUUGUCCGGGUUUGAACCCAGAACCUCCAACCCCUUAUCCCUUAGCUCAAACCAGUUGAGCUACCCCCCCUGAUCUAAGAUAGACGAUACAAUCUUAGAAUUUAGGCAAAAGGCCUAACUCAACCCCUACAAAACCAUCUUGUAAGGUGAGGAUUGCCGAUUGCAAAGGCCAUAUAAAUGGGCGAUGUAAGACUAAAUCUACUCCCUCUAGCAAGCACGCUAAAGGCUUGUACUACAGGCAAUGAAGAAAGACAGAACGAUUCAAUUACAGACUGUUCGACCAAAAUAUUAAAUAGCAUCUCUUAAAACAAAACAAAAUGCAUAAAUCAAUAUUAAAAUGUUGCUAAACUUUGGAAAACAUAAGAAAUGAAAUACGAAAAGGCUAAUCGAGUAUAGUAACACUCAGUUUGUCCUUGCAGGCAGUAUAGCGUAGCAGAAUUUGAACAAACAACUAUUUUCUGCAAUCCAGGUAAUUCGAAAAUUUUGAUGCCAACUAUCAUUUAUAUAAAUCACAUAUCAGAGAAGCCCACAAUCUAAUAAAUUACAAAGACCUAACACUAAAUACCAAUAACUUCAAAGAUUGAUUUUUUGGAAAAAUAAAUUACAGAAAAUGGGAUUAGAGCUGCUAACCAUAUUCAGUACGGGGUCUUUUGAGCAUGCCGCCGGGAGGAGGGAGAUGCUGCUGCUGUCGAUUCCAGAAGCCAUCUGCCAUUGCGAGAGAUCAAUAGAGUGAUCAGAAAAAGAAAUUGAUGAUGAUGGAGUUGAUGGGGAUGGUGGUGAAUUGUAAUGGUGUAGAAGAUAGGGCUAAUUUCGAAUUCAGAAACCCUAAUUUGGAAAAUGAUAAAACCCUAAUUCUUCUUCUUCUUCUUCUUCUUCUUCUUCUUCUUCGUAUUCGAAAGAUCAGAAAAACAAAAUGUUCAACAGCUCCAUUUUUGUUUUUCUUCCCUAAGGUCUCUAUAAGAAAAAUUGGAGGGUAUGAAUAGAAAACUUCUAUCUUCAUCUAAUUUGGGCCAUACAAUGAAGUUGAUGAAUCGAAUUUGGGCCACAUUUGACGUAAUGGGUAACAGAAAAUUUUCGACUAUUACUUUUCCCACCAUAUGCCUUUCCUCGCGCACCCUAUUUUUUUUUUUCUUUCCAAUUUUACCCGUGGUCCGGAUUUCGUUUUCCGGAUGGUAUUGUUAGAAUUUUGCAGAUGUUUCCGGAUUUAAAAAUCCGGAAUAAUGUUUUACCAGAAGUUUUGCAAUUUUAAUCUUCAAAAUUCAUAAAAUAAAAUAAAAAAACGGAAAUAAAAAGACACAAACAUAAAAACAAUUCAUUUUAUUAAUAGGGUAAUAGGCUUUUACCCCCUGCAAUAUAGGUCACUUUUGGUUUUCCCCCCUGUGAAAUUUUUUUGUCAGAUUCCGUCCUUGUAAAUUUUUUUUGUUUUGGAAAACCCCCCUAGGCCAGCUGACUGUGCAUUUUCGCUGAUGUGGCACGCUGACUGUAUAAAUUUUAUUAUUUUUUUAUUGUGUACACGUGGCAUUUGUGAUUUUUUUUUAAAAAAAAUUUGAUAAAAAUGCUGAAAAAAUAAAAAAAUUCUGAAAAAAAAAUUUAAAAUAAAAAAUAUGAUAAAAAAUCUCAUAAAAUGAAAAAUAAUGAAAAAAAAAAAAUCAAUAUAUAUCGAAAUUUUCGAAAAAAUUAUAAAAAAAAUCUUAAUUAAGUUCCUGAAAAAUUCUAAAAAAUAUCAAGUUCCUGAAAAAAAUUUGAAUUUUUUUUUUAAUAAUUUCGAAAUAAAUAAGCUUUUACUAUUAUUUGGAUUUCGGUCUUAUAUACUAUAUGGAAAGACCGCAACAGAAGGAUUUUCCAAAACCAAAGUGCACUUUUGGAGUUUCUACUUGAAAGAGUCAAACUCCAAACAUAUUGGUGGUUGAAAGCUAAUUACAUCUUGUUCGUUUUUGAUUAUUCGUAUUGGAGAAUUAAUCCUUUACCUUGUUUACAGACUGUUUUGUAAAGUCUGUUUUUGGUUUCUGUUUCAUGGCUUUCAUAGCCUUUUUGUAUUGUAUUUAACUUUAUCAGAUUCCUCAGGCACAUCUUGUAUGUGCCUGAGGGAUUGAUUUUAAUAUAUUUCUAUUAGUUUCUUCAAAAAAAAAAAAGAUUUUUAGAAUUUCUAAAUAAAUUUUCUUAUUAUAAAAAUAACACUUUUUAUAAAAAUUUCGAAUUUUUUUCAGGAACUUGAUCUUUUUUAGAAUUUUUCAGGAACUUAAUUAAGAUUUUUUUUUAUAGUUUUUUCAUUUUAUGAGAUUUUUUUUUCUAGUAUUUUAUCAGAUUUUUUCAUUAUUUUUUAAUUUUAUAAAUUUUUCUAGAAUUUUUUAUUUUAUAAGAUUUUUUUCGUUUUUUUAUUUUAAUUUUUUUCCAGAAUUUUUGUAUUUUUUUUUUUCGUUUUUUAAAAAAUUUUAAUUAUUUUUUUUAAAAAAAAAUCACAAAUGCCACGUGUACACAAUAAAAAAAUAAAAAAUAUACAGUCAGCGCGCCACGUCAUCAGAAAAUGGUGACUCAGCGUGCCACAUCAGCGAAAAUGCACAGUCAGCUGGCCUAAGGGGAUUUUCCAAAACAAAAAAAUUUUACAAGGACGGAAUCUGACAAAAAAAUUUCACAGGGGGGAAAACCAAAAGUGACCUAUAUUGCAGGGGGGUAAAGGCCUAUUAACCCUUAUUAAUAUAUGAAUAAUACAUUACAAUAAUUUUCAAGCUUUUUAAGCUUAUUACAUAAGAUCAUAAAUCUAUUUCUAAUCUCCUAUGAGUCUAAUUCUUAUCUCCUAAGAGCCUAACCACUGGUAUGUGAUGGGACAAACCAGUAGUUUGCCUAUUGGAGGAAAACCGGAGGAGGAGGGAAGAGGAAGGCGGGAAGAAGAGAACAAUGUCCCCGAGGGAGAUGGGGGGUACUCAAACUUAUGCUCAGACAGACCAAGCUAAGAACCACACUGACCUACAUGACCCUUAGAUGAACCGCGCUUCGUUGCAGCGCAGUUCCAUCCUCAUUGACCGUUCAUACAAACCCUGAAAGUUUUCAACGAGGCCCUUAUCUAUGAAAAGCCAACGAUGGAAAACCAUGGUUGUAGAAGGAAGAAGAGGAUGAGAGGGUGGGAGAGGAUGGUGUGAGAAAUGGUGGGGUAAUUUGGAAGGCUAUUUAUAAGGAGGGGUGGGUCAAAAACGGUUGGGAGGCCAUAAAUGCAGUCAAAAAACGCGUUUUAUGACGUUUUUUGACUUGACCACCGACAAAAACGUGUGAUGCAGACCACCGGCCAUUGUAACACCCCGUUUUCCCAAUAUGAAAUUUUCUUAAAACAUUUAUCAGAGUAAGCAUCGUAAACAACGGGAUAUCAGAUAAACGUAAUCCAAAACAGUUAAAUAAUGAUUUAACCAAAUAUCUUUAACAUCGCAGCGGAAAUUAUGUCAUAGUCAUAAAACGUUUUGGCACGCAGGCCUCAUCUUAAAUCUUAAAAGAAAUUAGUUCAUAAUCAUAAACAGCAUAAAAGUCACGUAAUAGAAUGAAGCAUGCAUAGUCAUAAAGCCCCAUCCCGUUACGUAUCAGAGCGACCUAGACGACACAGUGAAGGCAAGGCCACUCACGACGUAAACAGCACACUAAGCUCGAUCACCUGCACGUUACCCACGGUCGAGGUAACAUUCAAACAGAAGGGGUGAGAUUUCAUAACAGAAUAGCGUUAAUCAAUGCAAUUAAGAAUCAUAAAUUAACAUCCUAAUCAAUCUUGAUCAUAAUCAUUUUAAACAUAAUCGUCAUUGUAUCCUUAAUAAGCAUUUAUCACGUAAUCACAUAAUCAAUCAUCAUCAACAACAUAACAUUAUCACGUAAUCACAAAAUCAAUCAUCAUCAACAAAGCAUAAUAGACAUGACAAUGUGACAAUGCUCCUAGACUCCGUAUAUGCAUGUGGUACCAAUCGUCAUCAUAAGUAUAAAUAUACUUUAAUCGUGCGGAGGACAAAGCUCCUAAUAAUCGUGCGGAGGACAAAGCUCCUAAUAAAACGUGGUGAGGACUAAGCUCAAUGAUAUGCUAUGCAUGGACUCUUAACAACAAAACAUCGUAAUCAUGUGCAUUCAAUAACUUGAAGCGAAACGUCAUCAUUUUCAUUAUAUUCAUAAAUAAACAUUGCAUACUCAGUUAAAUAACAGCAGCAGCAUAGUCAAGUCACAUAUCAGCAGGGAGAUAUCAAUAUAUCAACAGCAAUUCAAUAGAAUCAUAAUCGUUUCAUUAUAUCUCACAUAUUGCAUAAUACAUUAAUCAUGCUCAAUUAAUAUCAACAUAUCUUAAUAGCUUUACAGACUGCAUUAAACGUUAUCAUAAGGUUUCAUUACCAAUUAGGGGUUCACUCCUGAUCAAAAGGUGCGACACAGAUCGCACAACCACUCAAACAGCUACAUUCUGGACUUGCUCGCGAGGCGAGAGUUCUCACUCGCCAUGGCGAGUACCACUCAAAUUCCCAACUAAUGUUGUUUUGGGUUCAAUCCUGUCCUAAAAUCAUUCCUAAUCAAUCUCUAGGUAUGUUUAGGCACUUAAAGGCACUCAAGGUCCAACUAAAAAGUCGAAACUACAAAAUAUGACAUGCACUCUGCCUAAGCUCGCGAGGCGAGGAAGGGUUGCUCGCCAUGGCGAGUUACACCAAACAACUCGCGAGGCGAAGGGAAAAGGCUCGCGUGGCGAGCGAUGAACUUCAUCACUCGCGAGGCGAGGAUCAUAGCUCGCCGUGGCGAGCGAUGAAUGUCGCUACGGCCAGGCUUCCUAAAAACACAAAAAUCCGUUGAUUCACAUGGUUCUAAGCUUGGUUUUGGUUCCAGAAUUCUUCCUAAACAUAUUCUAAGGUUAAAGGACGGUUCUUUCAUCAAUCUAAACAAGUUUUACCGUUUAUUCUCAAAUUUUAGGGUUUUGACCUAAUUCCAAAACUUCUCUAAAUCAAUCCUAACUUUGUCAACUAAUCAUCAGAAUUACAGAGAUUAAUGUUACUGAGUUAUUAGUCCCACCCUUACCUGGUUAUGAAGAAAUCGCAGCCCUCUUUGGUCUCUUGCUCCUCUCUAAGCUUUUUCUCCCUUUUCCAAAAGUUUUCACGUACAAAGUGUUUUUUCUAAACCUAGGUCUAUUCUUUUAUAUCUCCUCUUAAAAUACUUAUCUUAUCUCACUUUCUCCCCCAAAACUAUCUAAAAUAUCAAAACAGCCCUCAACUAAAUAUUUUAUAUUAUUUUCAAAUCUUUAUUCUAUUUAUCAAUAAAAUAAUUCUCAUAUCAUAAUCAAAUCCUCCAAAACUCAUAACUUAUCACGUCAUCAAUCAAAUCACUAAAUUCACCACAAAUCAUCAAAACAUAUCAAAAUCAUGCAUAUACUAUAUAAUUAUAAUAUAAUGGCCUAAACUCGAUUAAAUAACGAUUAAACGAAAGUGGGCGUUACAGCCAUGACUGAUGCAUUCCGAAUGCACAUCUGAUUUCUGGAAUAUAUUUUCCGGAUUAAUGCGAUAAUGGUGGUGAACGAGGGAAAAGUUGGCACUUCCUAUAGAGUCAAGGACAUUUCGGAAUGUAAAAUUCGGAAAGAUUCAAAGCCAUUAAUGUGGAUUCAGAGCCAUGACUGUAUUAAUGACCUAGGACUUGUUUUAGGCUAUAAAUAGGCUUCCAUCUUCAACAAAUACCUUCAUUCUUCACUUCACCUCUUUUCUUACAUUUUCUUCAAAUGUUUUCUAGUUUUUUCGGGGUGUCGAUGGUGUCAUGGUCAUUGUUGACCGUUCAUAGGAACCCUGCAAUUGCAAUGCAUUGCAGCUUGUGUGGGGUUCAUAUAACGGUCAACAAAGACCCUUGACAUCAAAGAAAUACACAGAAAAUUACAUAACAUCUGGCCCGGAUUUCUGUUUCCGGAAACACUAACAAUCUGGUUCGGAUUACGUAAUCUGAACUAGGGGUAUUUAUGAAAUUUUUGCAGGGCGCGCGAGAAGGCAGCAUGGUGGGAAAAGUAAUAGUAAAAUUUUUAUCAUAUACUCCUACAAUUUAUUAAAAAUUUCAAUUUUGUCCCUGAUGUUUAAUUUUGUACAUCUAAAUUUUUUACCAUUACUUUCAAAAUUUCAGGGUAGCUUAUCCCCACGCGAGAUUAUAGAUUUGUAUUUAUCGAAAAACUAUAAUGAACAUUUUCGGUAGUUUAUUUUUUUCGAAAUCUUUCAAUGGUUAUUUCGAUUCGUUAUUUUUUCUUUAUCUAUAAUAUUCAAAUUGAGAUUUUCAUAUUAAAUCCAGAAAAGUUACUUCCGAAAAACAAAUAUACACUAUAAUAUAGAGAUGCAUGAUUAGUGUUUUGAAAGAUUUUAUAUCAUAAUUGAAAAUGCAAAAUUAGAUUGUUGCAGAAAUGUCCUUAUAAAGUGUUGUGACUAUCUUAUUGGUGUUAAGAUUUUAUAUCAUAUAUUGAACAUUGUUAAUGAUUCUUAAACAAACAAUAUGUAAAAGAAAAUACCAACAGUUACUCACAAACAAAGUGUAUAUAGUGCAUUGAAGUGUGAUGGAGAAGUAUCUGGAACACUAUUAUGAUGUUAUCUCUUGGUUAUAGGUGGAAAAUCAGUGAUGGUAAUGAUAUUAAUGUCUGGAAAGACCUAUGGAUCCGCACACGUUAGAAUUUGCUGCCUUCCUCAAUUCUCUCAAACAAUUUCUUAAUAUGAUUGUCUCUCAGCUUUUCAAUCCAACAACCAACACUUGAAAUCGUGACUUUAUUGUUUAUAUCAUGAACAAUGGACACACAAGAUACAUAUGAUAUUUGUAAGUUACUUUUGCACUCUGAAACUCAUUUUGACACAAUUAUUUGGAAAUUAUGAUAUUCUGAUGUGAAGCUACUACUCUACAUCAAGCCCUCCAAAUUGCUCUUGACUUUGGCCUGAAUCGGGUAGUAUUCGAAAGUGACUGUCAACUAGUUGUGAAUAUAAUCCUUAAUAAUAGCUCCUAUAUGAAUGAACUAGAAAGUUUACUCUCUAAUUGUAGGACUUUGCUUUUAUCUAAUACUAGUUAUGCUCUAGCUUAUAUUAAGAGAUAAGGUAAUAUAGUCGCUCAUAACCUUGCUCGAGCGUCUAUAUUACAUGCUAGUCCCAGUAUUUUCUCUUAUCCUUCCGAUUGUAUUCACUAUAAUAUUUUGGAUAAAAUCAAAUGAGUUACCUUUAAAAAAAAAAUGUAAUGUUUUCCUUGCAGGUUAAGCUGACCCACGUGAACAUACCAAAUAAUUUUCAGAAGAAAAAGUGACAACGGUUAUUUCAAGCCAUCGAAAAAAUUGGAAAAAAAAUAAUAAAAAUAGUGAAGAUUUAAUUUAAUCUUUAAAAAUCUGUAAAAAAAAACUUAGUCCUAGAGAAGGAAAAAAAAGGAACAACUCAAUUUCUAGUGAAGUUGCAUUCAGAAAAGGGACAAUUAACGAUAAUUAAAAACUGAUACUUUAAUCUCUUGACAAUAAUAAUAAAAAGAUAAUUUGAUUCAUGCAUUAGAAAAUGUCACUUCUACUACUGGUACCAGCUAUGACUUCGGUACCCCUAAGAAAAACUAUGACGUUAAAAAUAUAGAAAUUGUCUUGUAAAUUCUAUUACAAAUCCUCAAAAUAAAGGUUUCUCUCAAAUCUCAUAUGAAGAGUCUCUCAUCUAAUUCAUUUUUUAUUGAUAAAAAUAUAUCUAAAAUAUGUUGAGGGAUAAGAUAACACACCGUGAUGGUAUUUAUAUGUUUCAAUAGAAAUUUGGAUGAAUAUGCAAUUAUAUGUGAAAUACAAACACUUCAAGGAUGAAAGAAAUUGUAGUAGUAGUAGUAGUAUAAUUUAAUAAGAUAUUGCUAGAAGAAAUAUGAUUAAUAAAGUACUAGGGAAAGAAAAUAUCAAGUACCUUUCUCCUUAGUUUGCUUCUUUUGGAAGGAAUAUAUUCUCCAUUAUUAGUUCCAAUGUAGCUACAGAACUUCCAUGCUGAUUCCAGAAUAUUGCAAGCUCAUUAUUCUAACUGCACAUGAGUGAUCAGUAGUAUAUACGAAUAUUGUUUAUUCAUUUCAGUAUAACAGUAUAUAAUUCUAUUUUCUACAUAAAAUACAAAUGGCCACUAUAGUUCCAGUAAUUUAUACAAGCAUCCUCACACCCACUCCAAACAAAAAUAAAAACAAAAGGUUUCAAAUUCAAAUCUAGAUAAAGAUGUCCAACCUAACAAUAUUGAGUUAGACUUUACAGACCAUUAAACUCUCCAUUUAUUAGGUGUUAAUCUAAAAUGUUUUACACCACUAACACAAUCAUAACUAAUAAUGUAUGUGACUUUAAUUGGUGUUGUGUGUGGCUAGCUGCCUGUGAUUCAUGAGGUGCUUGGCACAAGUUCUAUGUAAAUUAAAGGCAAUGCUGAUUUCAGUUUUGAAAGGCCAGAAAAAUGUAAAUCUUCGGAAACUAAAAGAGGGGACUCUUGUGAAACAGUUUGUGCCUUUUUAGGAGGGAUUCUAGGGGUGGAAAACAUGGAAAAUGCCUCGUGAGAGUGAAAACCAUUGAGUGAUGAUUCUAAGAGUGUAAAAAAAUAUAAAUUUUUGGGAUGUUAUUUGAACAUUGAGAGUUAAAAUUUUUGAUCGCUCUUGUAACUCUCUUGAUUAAGGAAAAAGAGUGAGAAAAUGGUCGAAAUCAAUUUGCUUUUGGAGAGCUUAUGGAAGCUAAUUUUUUGUAACUAUUUGUAUCUUUUUGUAAGAGGAUUGCUAGCAACAUUUCUUUUCAACACUUUCUUAAACAACCACUCUUUUAUUGGAUGAAAUCAAUGUACAUCAUACCACUUUAUAGGAGUUUCAUUUCCAAAAUGUAAGACCAUAAUUGUUUUAACACAAUUAAAGAGUGCUCAAAAGAGAGUGUUGCUAACCCUACUUCUUUUUGUAAAGACUUUUUGACGGUGGAUUGGAGAGAUGCUCUCUCUCCUUAUAUGUAGGUCAUUUUUGGACUCAAUUGGAUAAAUAAAUUUUUUGUAUGUUGUUCCUCUACUCUAUUCUCUUUUAUCUUUGUUUUUUUGUUUCCAUUGUAAAUUUUCUUUACACAUAGAUUAGAUCUAAAUUUGGAUAUUUUUGCUUGAUUUGUUUGUAUAUUAGAUAUCAUGGUCUGAUCUUUGCUCCACACAUUUAAAUUUAUUAAUACGGUUUGAGUCUGAAGUCACAAUAUCAUAGAAAUAUGUCUCUUAUUUUAGGUUGGAGAAAAUAUUUUAUCUGACCAUCGAACUUUUUUUUUUUUUUUUGGUUUUAUUUAAAUUUAGUUUUGAGUCGACACACCAUCAAUGUCUAAACUUUAAGCUCAACUUUAAUUUGUUUCCUUUUACAGAAACUUAUAAAAAAGCACUGAUUACAACACAAUCAACCCUACCAUCAUCAAUCUGUCCCUAAUAUAUGUCUCUGUUACCACACGGCAAGUGGGUCCAAUUUUGUAUCCCUCUUCCUAUUUUGGUACAUUUCGUGGGCACCUUAAUUUCGUUGUCCAAUUUAUUAUGCCAAAAAAACACAAUUCCUUAGUCAAGCUACACAUGUCUUCCCCUCUCUCUAAAUUAUAAUCGUUUAGAGUUUGUGUAUGAUUAAUAAAAAAAUGAUUAAUUAUGUUAAUUUUAAUGAUAAAAUUAAUAUCAUUUACUAAAAUAUCUUUAUUAAUUAUAGUUAGUGGAAUGGUUAAGUUGAAUGAAAUUCAAUAAAUAAGGGUAUAAUAAUAAUAAAAAAUAAUGUUGCGUUAAUAUUCUAAAGUGACAAUUAUUUUGAAAAAAAUAAAAAAAAGGCUAAAGAGACAAUUAUUGUGAGACAGAAGAAGUAGUGAGACUCGUUCCGUAAAAAAAAAUGUAGUAAUACUCAUCUUCUCCAUCAAUUUCCUCUUAUAUGGCAUUGGUUAAGGAACGUUUUAAUUUAAAAUACUGGGUUAUGCUAAUACGUGUCAUGUUAAGGAUUUCACAAUUAGUUUUAUUAAAAAAUUUAUUUUACCGUUUUGAGAAAUAAAUUGACACGAUUUCUAAUACAUAAAUUUUAUUUUUGUUACCUUAUCAUGUGUUUUUUUUUUAAGAAACAAAAAUGGAUUAUAUUAACAUCGACGGUAAAACCACUUCAGCACAAGAUGUACUAAAGGAUCACCCCACAAAGAGAACAGACAAACAAUAUUUACACAAGUUCAGUCAGUCGAUACCCAAACAUAACAUAGGGUUCGACCAGCACAUCUGAGUGCCAUGCACAAACAAUGCAUUAUUAGCCUUUAACCACCACAAAGCGUGAAAUUAAACCUUUUCUAUAAAUUGUUAUAUGGUAGUUUAGAUGUUAUUAAAUAUUCUAUCAUUACGAGCACUCCAAACCACCUAGCUUUUAAAAAAACACAUUUUUAGACAGGAUCUAUUUCAUUUUAAUUUAUAUAUUUCUAUAUGCCUCCAAAAAAAUUAUCCUUCUUUUUAGAAAAAGGUUAACAACACUCUUUUUUAACACCUUUAUUCUUACUAUUUUAUUAAGUGAAAUUCAUAUCAGUCUCACUAUUUUAUAUAAGGUUUAUUUCUAAAGUAUAGUUCAGUUGAAAAAGAAGUGGAGAUUAGAUAAAGUGUUAAAAAUAGUGCCCAUUGCAUUUAUAUAUAUAAUUUUCUCUAAGUUGAUUGAUAAUAGUGAUUGAGGUCUCUAUGACAUCACCUCGUGAUCAUUUAAUGCCCUAUAUAGAGAGAGUUUAGUCCCCAAGUCAUUGAUUCCACAUUUCUGUGUGAGACUUAGUACACCAGUUUCAAACUUUCAGUUCCUUUAGUCGGCCAUUAAUUUCCAUGGAGGCCCACAAUUCACCUAACCAACAACACUCACCCUGUAUUUAAUAUGCUCCCAAUCCUUAUACUUACAUUAAAAAUAGAUAGAUAGAUAUGGUCUCUCUGGAAAGAGUUUAUAGAAUAAGAUAUCACAAUUUACAACUCGAAUUUAUUAAUUAUAAAUUAAGUUCAAUCCAAAAGAAAACUACAAUAUAUAAAUAGCACACAUACUUCACAUUAUAAGUUGAUUUUACAAGAACGAGUUUAUUUAUUUAUUUUAUAAGAUUUCAUAUAAAAAUAAACAUACAUAUUAUAUUUCUCUUUCUCCUUUCAUUACCUAAUUCAUUUUGGCAAUACUCUUACUUUUUGUCUGGUUAAUUAGUUUCUACUAUCCACAACUUGAUGAAAACACCCUCCCUAAGGACCCGUUCCAAUGCCUCUUAAGUCACUUUUUAAUUGGAUAAAAGUAUCCUUCAAUUUUAUUUUUGUUGGAUAAAAAGUACUGUUGCUUCAUGUUGUCUCAUUUAUUGCUACAAGCUACCAAAAGCAUAGCACAAAUAUCACUCCCCAACAGCCAAAUCUUAAAGCACAUGAUCCUGCAUUUACUCUCCUCCCCCAUUUUUCCGCACCUUGUUCUUCUUCAUUAAUGCUAUCUUACUUGGUACCAUUUCCAUAAAUUCAUUCAUAUUUACUUCAAAUGCAAGCCACCCUAAUUUGCACUACAUAAAUUCCCUUCUUCAUUUAUUAACCUUGCUUCAUUAAUUCACCAUUCUUUUUAGGUUAUUGUCUUGUUAUAAAGGAAACUACACUUUGGUUGGACAAAAUGAAUAGGAUGCAUUUCAAUGUGGUACUAGUGCUUCUACUUUUGGUGAUAUAUUUUGUUGGUCAUGGUUAUGGCUCUAGACACAAUCAAGUUUUCAAAGUUUAUCCCAAAACUAAGGAUUUUCCUUCAAGUGUCCUUGGUUUGUUGCCAAAAACAAUGCCAAUUCCACCUUCCGGGCCUUCUAAGAAGCACAAUGACAUUGGAAUACAAAGCUCAAUGGGAAAACCAUAGAGGGUUAUAUAUCUUAUUCCUUCUUAUUAAUUUCACCUAGCCACUAUUCUGAUCUUAUAUAGAAAACCUAAUAGGUAAUGUAUAUGCAUGGUGUAUUUAACUCUUCAUUGUAUUUUUUGUGAUCUUUACCCUUCUUUUUAAUUUUCAUUUCCCUUCUUUCUGAUUACUUUUAUAUAAGAUCAUUUUCAAGGGACAUAAUAGAAUAAUUUCAGAAUGAGCAUAGCCUUUAAAGGGUAUAUAUAUGUAGAUUUGUCUUCUCUUCACAUAGCUUGUGAAUGAUAUAUUUAACUUAAUUAAUAUAUGAUUUGCAAUAUAGUAUCCUUAAUGUUUUGGUUCAAACUAAGAAGUGUUUAGUGGCUUAAUUUGCUUAAGGAUAAAAGAUUUGUACAAGCAAAAGAGAAAAAAAAAAAAGUAACAAAUUAAAGUUACAUAGUUCAUGUAUAUUGAUAUUUAAUUAUGUUUGAUUAUUUUUAUUAUUAUGAUCAAGUAAAGAAAAGAAUGAAGUUGCAUUGUUUAUUCUAGUUGCUUCAAAUUAAGCUCAUGUAUUUGUGUUCUAAUUAAAUCUAUGAAUUUCUAAUUAAUUUCAGUGAGAUCUAUAGUUUGAAUGAUGCAUGCAAUUAACUCACUGUUGGUAAGAGUGACCAUACAUAGAUUCUCAUAAAAUUUAGGGAAGUGACUUGCGAAUGGUCAUUGUUUUGAUUUGAUUUUUUGAUCUUACUAAUUAAAUGCCAAAUAAAUGGUUGUACGAGGACCAUUGUUUUCCUAGCUAUACUCCAUACUACGUUCCCUAUAAUUGCGAUAACUUGUAUCUUGUAGCUAACCUAAUGCCUAGUUUUUUGUAAUUCAAGUACUAGUGCUACAUAGAAUUUGUCUCAAUUACUCAUACAUGCUAUACUCGACUACUUAACAAGUCAAAUUGAAUCAUUUCCUUCCCUUUUAUCUUCUUUUUCACUCCCAACUUUCUAUCUCUCUUAGUCUUACUCUCACUCUCUCUUUCUUCAAUAUGUUUUUAUUUUUAAUGAAGAGAAUCAUAUUAAGAAAGUGAUAGAGUGGGAAGAAGAGAAAAGAGAAUCAGAUAAUCCAUAUCCGAUAAAAGUAGUUUAACAAAUGAAGUUCAUUUUAUCAUAGAUAUAAACAUGGUCAAUUAUUAUUUUUUAAGAAGUGUACAUGAAUUGCUUUUAAAAGACAUUUAAUCGGUGAAAUAAUUUUUUAAGUUAAUCAAAAGAAAAUGACAUUUGCAAAAAAAAGAUUUGAUUUUUUAUACUAUAUUAUUGGUAUGAAGUUUUCACCGUUGGUUAACAACGAUCAUGGAAGAUUUUAAUAUUUAAACCUUUCAUUACAUUUAAUUUUUAAAGGCUGAGAUUUUACUCAACCCUCUAAUCAUCGAAGAUGAUCCGGUCUCCACCUCUCGUCAUAUCUUUGCUUUCAAACCUAGAAUAUGAGCCAUUUAAACCACAUAAUUGUUUAUAUUAUUAUAUUGGUCAAUUUGAAAGACCAAACGCGCAAAGGAGGAGUAGUAAAUAGUAAUCAUGUCUUGAACUUUUUUGAUUUAGGUACUUAACUAGUCUUUUAACAAAUUCUCAAUAACAAUCUUAGCCAAUAUUUAAAAAAAAAAAAAAAAUUAAACUAAACAGUUAUACACGGAUGAAGAAGUAUAUUGUUUGGUUAAACAAUUAUUUUAUGGACAUGAACGUGUGAGACACCGUCAUUAUAGUUUAUGAAUGUAUUAAAAUUGCAAAUCUAGAGACUAAAAUUGACUAAUAAAAUACACAAUUGAGGAUUAAAUUGACUAACAAAAAGAUCAAAAGGACUAAUUUACGAGACACAUGAGAACAUGUUUGUACUUUAUCUUUGUAAAAAUUAAAGCAUUUAGAAUCCAACAAAAUUUGGAGAUCAAAAGGACUAAUUUGAUCUUUGUCUCCAAAAGAUCAAAAAUAUGAAAUAUUAUUAGAUAUCUUUGUAAAAAUAUGUUUAUAAAUAUUAAACUCUAUCAGACAAAAACAUAAAAAUUAAAGCAUUUAGAAUCCAACAAAAUUUCAUAAUUUAUUUUUGAAUUUCUUAGAUAUCUUUGUAAUAUAUGUUUAUAAAUAUUAAACUCCAUCAGACAAAAACAUAAAAAUUAAAGCAUUUAGAAUCCAACAAAAUUUCAUUAUUUUUGAAUAACUAAUAAGACCAUUACAGAGAUAACUAUUUUUAUUCAUGGAGUUUGCUGACACAGGCUAGAAAAUAGUAGAAUUAUUACACAAAAAUAAAAAUACGUAUUUAUGAAAAGUUUGAUAGAGCAAUUAAUAUCUCCGUGGACUUUACUUAGUUGAUAGAGAUUUUGCAUAUUAUAUACAAUUGUUCAUAGUAUUUCAAUCUCUAACCAAACGCAAGCAUGUCUAAUAGCUCAUGUGAAAAGAACUGCGGUUCAUUCUUUAACUAAACGUGCUUUACAUUCAGUAAGUAGAUUCUGUUUAGAUUGAAGAUUAUCAUUCUUGUAUUGAUUUUUCCAUUACCACUGAUUUGGUUGUCUAAUGAAUACAUUUUUCUAUCAAAAGAAAAUAAUCUAACACGAGCAAGUCAAAGGUGGUUAAUGCUAAAUAUUAGUAUACUUUUGGUGUAAGGGAGACAAAGUUUAAAGUAGGUUUGGCUAAACAAACAAGGAUUGUUGCUCAAUUCUACGGAUUAUUGUAACCCCCUUUGAAAAUGUAAGUGGCUUGGCUAUUUGUAAAAUUAGUUUUAUUGUAUGUACCAUACAAAGAAAAGCUUUAUGUUUCUUUAGCAACGACUUGUGAAUGUAGAUGUUUACUUCACCAAAAAAUUGAAGACAUUACAUCCUAAUGAUUUCAUUUCACACUUUAAUUCAUUUAUAAUAACAAAGACUUAUUGAUUAAGUGAAAAAGCGUAUGACUUGCAUACGAUAUUGAUCAAUGAAAAAAUAAAAAAAAACUUCUAACAAGACUUAUUUUCUCCAUAAAACUAAAAUUCUAUAAUAUGGAGAAACUUAGAAAAUGUGUUAGGACAAUUUUUUUUGGAUAAAUCUGCAAGACUUUUUCAACUUCUUCAAAUCAUUUUUCUUUACAAAUAAUUAUGUUUGUCUUUAGAUUACUCUUAAAACCAAAACAUAUUAAUCAUGGGCACUCCUCACUCUUCUCUCCCCACUUUAAAAAUAUUCCCCAAAUAAGAUGAGAAAUUCCAAUUAAAUAAUAAUUUACAAAAGAUAUCACAAGUACAUUUUAGGCAUGAUGUAUACAAUAUACACAGUGAUAAUAAAACAAAGCGCAACAGAGGGAAACAAAAAAGAACCAAGAAAAUAAUGAAGUUAUAUCCAUGAUUUUAUAUACACUACAGAAUACAACAUAUAUGUAAAGGAAACCAGCCUAAAUAAAAUGGAAGACACUUAACUUAAAAGAGAAAUUUUUAAAAAAAGGUUGAAGAGAAAAAUGAUAGAUAAUAAAAGGUGCCUGGUUCCUUCAUAUUGAUUUCCUACAAUUAUAUUCAUUGCAAUAAAAUGUGUCUAAAAGGAGAACUUUUCUCCAUCUAUUUUCCUAAAACUAUUAUAGAACAGGUGAACCAGCACUCUCUGCCCUCUGUGAUGCCUGGCUCGACGACUUGUCUGAGCUUCGAACAUUGUACCUUUCAUAUACCCUAUCGCGAUUCUCUGACCACCAAGUCUCUGCUUGAUUCUCUCCAAAUCUUCUCCGGCUGCAUAUAUGUUUACCACCAAACACAUCAAACAUGCAAGAUGACAAGUGUAAGAUAAUUUACAAAUCUUAGCUUAAAGCAACAAUAACCAUGUAUUGAGUGAUAGAGGCUAGGACAUUAUCAAAUGAAUCUAAUAUCGUGUAAUAUGAGAUGCUCAAUGAAGUACUAAAGUGGUUUAAUUCCUCUCUCUUGAAAAACAACUUUUAAGGGAGAAUUUUCCAAGUGUCUGGGUGCUUAUCAUUCUGUCCCUAGAUAUAGAAUCUCUGAGAAAUUUUCUUACCCUUUUUAUAGGACUUCACUCAAAUUUUCAACUGCAUUAAUUAUCUCUCUACUAUAAUACCCCUAAUUACUUUACCCUUUUUUUUGUAACCAACAGGUAAACAGUAAAUAUUGUUGUGGGAAUGGGAAAGAUACAUUUAUUCUCCCACAUCAAGGCUAAACUAGGAAAAUAACACAAAUUGCUAACAUAUUUAAUAUUACUAUUAAUUGUCUUAAUUCCAAUGAUUUAGUCAACAAGAUCCUAUUUAGGAACGGAGGUAGUACCAACAUCCAUUGUUGGCAUAAGAAAUAAGGUUAUUACUUAAAAAGAAAUGAACCAAUGAUUGUAACGAUCUUUUAAACACAAAUCUUUUUUAACCUACUAAAUCCCAACCAUCACACUGACAAUUAUAAAUGGUAAACUAUUGAAAGCUAUCAACAAUUAGCAGUCACAUAUAUAAGUAUAGAAGCAGAUAAAUAUAAUCUAGAAAUGUUGGAGAUUUCUUUUAUUACCUGAAACGCACUCUCCGCAGAUCUCUUGUUCCAUCACGCAUGGCAACCAGAGUUAUAUAGACACCAGGUUCAUACUGUUCAAUCCAUUCUGCCUCAACUUGAUUACUAUUAGCAGCCAAGACAUCAUUCCUUGAUCUGGAACCACUCUCAUCAUCACGGAAAUUCCCAGAAUUCCUACCAUCAAAAGUAUCCGACACACUACUGUUGGUUGCCUGAAUCAUACUGCCACUAUUUGGCAAUCUGUCAUCUCGGUAAUCAUCUGUCCCAUUAGAGGUCACAGAUGCUCGGCUUUGCUGGUAAAGAUUAGUUGCAUAGCUUCCAGUUGAAUUCCUUUCAGUUCUAUUCAUCAGAGAAGAUUCAAGGCCUAAAGAAGCCAAGCUGGAGCCACUGAUCGACUCUGCCCUUGUGUGGCCCUGCUCGCCGUUUGAGUCUGGAUGGUGGAUGCCAUUUGACUCGACGAAACCGUUACGCAGGUUCCCUGGUCUGAUGUUAUCAGUAUCAUAUGCACCAGGAGGAAGCCUCUCUGCCAGAUCUUUGAGCUGAAAAAACAAUAUGAUAUGUCAAUUAAAAACCACAUAUUUAUCUUUCAAAUUACAUGAAAAAAAUCCUUCAAAAUACAGUUCCAAGAGAAAUAAAUGAACCAAAAAAUUAACCUGUGCCGUAAGUGACUUAAUAACUUCUUUUGCAGCCUUGGAUUUGGCAGAUUCCUCAGUAGCCAGUACCAUAGCUUCUUGAGUCUUUUUUGCUGACUUUUUAAGCUCUAACUCUUGCAGCUCACAUCUCUGUCUCAGGGUCUCAACCUAAUGAGAAUUGUGUUAGAUUUCUUUAGAUACCAAAAUAGGUGUGUGUGUGUGUGUGUGUGUGUGUGUAUAUGAUAUGAGGAGGGAUGUAUUGACUCCAAGAGUAACUCCACAUCUCUAUUCUUCGUUUUAUUUAAUCUAAUGGACUAAAUUGAAGUCUUAUUAAUUAUCAUGUAACCUCAUCUUCCUUGAUCAUUUUCACAUUAUUAACAAUUGAAAAUAAUUCUUUUAUUAAACCGAUUGAAGAAAAACUGUAAAAAGUUGAGCUAUGCAGUUGAAGAGAAGAAAAAAUGAAUUCGGUAUAACAAAUUAAAUCUAAAAGGCCAUCGAAAAUAAUUCUUUUAUUAAAUCGCUGGUAGAGUUAAUUACUACUUGUAUAAGUAAGUAGUACAACAAGUUGUGUCUGAGCAAAGGAGUUUGAGAGAGAAUACACGAGAAAACUGAUAGAGAAGGAGGAAGGAGAAGGGGUAACUAGUAAAGAUGAAUCAUGUGUAAUUAAUUUAAUAUGGAGCUUUAAAUCUGACCCGCACAAUUUGAUCUAAUGGCUAUUAAUGGGUCCUCUCAUCUCACAAUAGAUACUCCUCUCACUUGAUAUAUAUAUAUAUAUAUAUAUAUAUAUAUAUAGAGGGUGUAUCAAAUGAGAGAACUUUCUAAAUGAGAGGGUGAGAGGAUUGAUUGCUAGCCACUAGAUUAAGAUGAAUGGUUAGGAUUAAACUGGUCACUAAAACACAGCACGCGCUUCGUUUUUCUUCUCUAUUCUCUCUUCGUCCAGUUUUUCCAGAAUUUGUCCAACAAUUUCUUCUUCUACUUGCAAAACCAAACAACAAUGCCGACACAAAAACAGUAUGUGUAAUUUGGUGAAUCGAUGGUGAAUUAAGCAUAUUUUAUAUUUAUUAAUCAAUUUUUCCCCAAAAAAUUAUGCACAGAACUCCAAAAACAUCCUCCAUGAAUAUCACUUGUAAAGAAAUAUAUAUAUAUGUACGAAAGAUGAAACAAUCAUUCGUUUAAUUUUACAAAGAAAGAUGAAACCAAAUCGGCACUAAUUUGUUAAACGAAAAUAAUAGCAUCGUCGCGACUUAGAGAAAGCAGAAUCAAGGGUUAUGAUUUUGUAAACGGUGGCCGGAAAUAAUAGUACCGAAAUUCUUCAUCUGGAUCGUAGAGUUGAUUUUGCAAAUCAGAAACUAUAUCUGAGGUUUCGGGAGUAAAGGAACGAUUGAAAAGGUAAGGAAUUGGAAAAGUAUGUGAAAGAAGAAACAUAACGCGUAAGAGAGAAUGGAGAAGAAAAACAAAGCGCGUGCUGUGUUUUGGUGACCAGUUUAAUCCUAACCGUUCAUCUUAAUCUAGUGGCUAGCAAUCAAUCCUCUCACCCUCUCAUUUAGAAAGUCCUCUCAUUUGAUACACCCCCUAUAUAUAUAUAUAUAAAAUAUAUUAUAUAUAUAUAUAUAAAAUAUAUAUAUAUACAUGUUUGGUGUAACAGUGCACAUGUUUGACAUGGUGUCAGUAUGUGCCAGACUCAAACAUUACAGAGAAGAAGUUCAAAAUGGAGGAAAAAUUCUGCAGUUUGAUUGACACGACGGAAAUGAGGGAAGUAUAAUAUACCUGAGAACGCAACUUCAACACUUCUUGAUUCAAAAGAUCGUUUGUUUUCUUCAAACUAUCAGUAAUGCUUUUUGAGAAGGCAAGCCCGGAGGUUGUCGGAAUGGGCGUAGCUGAACGAGGGGGGCUCGAUCUUCUAGAGAAAGGUGACACGGACCUGGAAUUCACUCCAGAUGGCGUAAUAACAGGUCUUGGAACAGUGCGUUUAAGGUCCAUAGCAGUAGACAAGACAACAUCUUUCAGCUGUAGCAAAGAUGGAGCUUGCGUGGUGUGAGCCAGAGAGAACAUAUCAGCCUUUUUCCCUUGUUUGGCUGCCUUACUAUCUAACUGCUUUAUCAAAUCCAUAUUCGAAGGCACGGCUGGCUUUGACAAUCUUAGCUCAGACUUUUCUAAUCUGUCCUUGUUUUCACCUGGAAAACGUGGCAUUGCAUUCCUCCGGUUGUUAAUGCUAGAUUCUGCAACCUUGUUCAAUUUUACAUAACAAGUAUCACAAACACGAUACAGCUUCCCAGGAUUAGGAGCAAGGGCUGCUCUUAAUGCUUUCCUUGAACUGCAUGAAUGGCAGUGCACAAGUCCACAAUUAUAACAGUUGUGACGCUUUCUAGUGAAUCCAAACGCUUGUCUACAGGUAGAGCACUGAGACUGCUCGGCACCAGAUACCCACUUAUGUAGGCAUAUGGCAG